UCUAGUGAUUAUGGCAUAGAGGAAACACGCCUUUCCAUUCCGAACAGGAAAGUUAAGCUCUAUAGCGCUGAUGGUACUUCACGGGUGACUGUGCGGGAGAGUAAGACGUUGCUAGGUU
This 118-nucleotide ribosomal RNA is filed under the name Clostridium baratii. The record is from RNAcentral. Lineage: Bacteria; Bacillati; Bacillota; Clostridia; Eubacteriales; Clostridiaceae.